UCUUUGAUCGCUGCUAUAUAUAAUAGUGACUCUUCCUACUCUCUUCUCCAUCCAAACCCUAGCUAGCAAAAGCAGCAGUUAAAACCUCCCUUCAAUUUCCGAUCUCAUCAUCAUCAUAUACAUCAUCACCUUUUAGAACACUUGUUCUUGUUCUUCCCAAUAUCUGUCUACCAUCAUGCACCACUACCAGUUGAAGCUGCCAGCAUGAUCUUAACUUCCCUCACUUGCUGUGGAAAGAUCAGAUCAUGUGGCAGUUUCACCUAGUAGUUGUUGGCCGCAUGAACCCUAGUUUAAUAAUUUGGUUUAGGGGGACAGGAAUUGUUUUGCGUGGCUCGGUGCAAUGCAUUCGUGAUUUCGAGAUCCAAUCCGUGCUUCGGUGUCUGAGCCUCCAUUACAUUGGAAUUGUAAUAUACCUUUUUUUUUGUUAAAUUUAUCUGUUGGGGCUUCUUUACCAUUAGUGUCUUUUUUUUUUCAAUAUUGGUGAUGAUAAUGGCAGUGAAAUUCUGUAUUUAGGGUUCAUGAUGAGGGUUGUGUUUUGUGUACUUUCUGGAUUUCCUAAGAUACUCUGAACUCUUUAACUACCUAAAAUUUUCUUUUCUUUUGUUUUCUCUUUCUUUUUUUUUUUUGAAGAGGGUCCAAUUAGUUAAUUAGAGAGAGAUUAUUGAGAGAAAAAGUCAAAUAUUUUAACUUAGUGAUUUUUCACCAUGACAUUUUGGGAUUAACAUGUACACAUUACCUUUCUCAAUUUAUAUUUGUUCAUUGCUUGGUUAACUUGAGUGUGCGAGUGUUGAAUAAACAUUGAUGUAGGUACUGCAAAUCUGUAAUUAAUACAUGGCUCACACGGUACAGGUGAGUCAUAUAUAUCUACUUUAAGCCAAUUCAUUUUGCUUCAUAUCUGAGAAAGAUGCUCAAAUGAGACAAAAUAACUAUUCCAUUGCUGAAGUCAUGGUAGAUUCUCAAUAUCUCAAUGUACUUUCCUCAUCUUACUAGGAUCUGAGUAGACUUUUGGCAUAGGUUUUUGAUUUUGAUCUUUUUCCUACGUGAUGAGGCAAUAAUGUGCUUUGUAUCCCAAAGAGAAAAAAAAAAAUCCUCCAAGUGAGUAUGAUCAGAUCAUAAAGAAGAAAUAGGAAGAAAACAAGCAAUAACAAACUUUACUAAUUUACUUCUACUGUUUGCAAUCAUCUGUUGAAUUGAAAAUUGAUCUUCCUUGGAAGAAUCUCAUAUGGAUAAUCAAUUGAUUUCAUCAUCACCUUCAUGAUCUGCAAGGUUUCUGACAACAACAAAUAUAUAUGAACACAUGAAGUCAUGAACCACCAUGUCUUCAUAAUAUAUAAUAAUAUAUAUAUCAUCGGUUGUGUUAUAUUUGUACAUAUGUGCAGUUUCUUUCCCUCUCUUUUUUAUCUUCUUUGUUCAUUUUGGUUCUCACGGGGUUUUCUUUGGAUUUAAAGCCUCCUCUUUUUUCCUUCUUUUAUUUCUCUCUCGGUAAGAUUCCACAUAGCUUUUAAUCUGCUACAAGUACCUAAAUGACAUGUAAUAGGUCAGUGGUUUGAUUCUCUCAAUUCUUUCCGUAUGUCUUUUAUAUGUCAGUUAUUCCUCGGUAUAUAUUACAUAAUUACCAGAGAUGUUAGCAUAAAUCUCUAUAUUAACUGUUACUUGAGUCAUGCAUUACUGUUAGAUAUAUAGACAGGUGUAUUCAGAAUGAAAUCAGAAUAAAGCCGAUUAACAUAAUGAAGCAUAUGCAGUUAUCUGGCUACUUUAGUUUUUCAGGGAAGGCACUUAUAUCAAGAUAAUUUAUCACACUGAAGGUGACUGGAUUAUACAAUCACAAUCUCUUGAUUCGACAAAUAUAAAGUUCAUACUUAAAGUUUGAGCAUAUAUGCAUAUAUUUUAGCUGUGAAUUAUUUAACUGGUGAUUUCUAAGUAAGACAAGUUUAAGUUAAAUCGUUGUAGGAUCCCUAAAAUAUUCUUUAUAUGACUAAGAGUAGCUCACAGGUCUUUUACGUAACAAUUCCUUUGUAUUAUUGUUGUAUAAUUAAGUGUUUGUUUGUGCUUGCACUCUCAAAAACUAUGUAUUCGUGUUAAUUGAAGGUAUAAUUUGAAGGCUCA
Glycine soja is the source of this 2106-nucleotide long non-coding RNA. RefSeq lists it as uncharacterized. NCBI's taxonomy places the organism in Eukaryota, Viridiplantae, Streptophyta, Magnoliopsida, Fabales, Fabaceae. The transcript is spliced from 2 exons. The record is from RefSeq and is a predicted model, not a curated record.